RNAcentral lists this ribosomal RNA (233 nucleotides) under uncultured bacterium. RNAcentral describes it as "partial 16S ribosomal RNA". It matches the Rfam family "Bacterial small subunit ribosomal RNA", at positions 523 to 754 of the family's 1533-position model. The record is from RNAcentral.
AUACGGAAGGUGCAAGCGUUAAUCGGAAUCACUGGGCGUGAAGCGCUCGUAGGUGGCUUUGUAAGUCAGGUGUGAAAGCCCACGGCUCAACCGUGGAAUUGCACUUGAUACUGCAUUGCUUGAGUUCGGGAGAGGGUAGUGGAAUUCCAGGUGUAGGAGUGAAGUCCGUAGAGAUCGUGGGGAACACCAGUGGCGAAGGCGACUACCUGGACCGAUACUGACACUGAGGAGAC